RNAcentral lists this ribosomal RNA (253 nucleotides) under uncultured bacterium. RNAcentral describes it as "partial 16S ribosomal RNA". It matches the Rfam family "Bacterial small subunit ribosomal RNA", at positions 524 to 776 of the family's 1533-position model. The record is from RNAcentral.
UACGUAGGGUGCGAGCGUUAAUCGGAAUUACUGGGCGUAAAGCGUGCGCAGGCGGUUCGUUGUGUCGGCGGUGAAAGCCCCGGGCUCAACCUGGGAAUGGCCGUUGAAACUGGCGAACUGGAGUGUGGCAGAGGGGGGUGGAAUUCCGCGUGUAGCAGUGAAAUGCGUAGAGAUGCGGAGGAACACCGAUGGCGAAGGCAGCCCCCUGGGCUAACACUGACGCUCAGGCACGAAAGCGUGGGGAGCAAACAGG